RNAcentral lists this ribosomal RNA (659 nucleotides) under uncultured fungus. RNAcentral's name for it is "eukaryotic LSU rRNA". It matches the Rfam family "Eukaryotic large subunit ribosomal RNA", at positions 24 to 664 of the family's 3401-position model. Lineage: Eukaryota; Fungi. The record is from RNAcentral.
CCCGCUGAACUUAAGCAUAUCAAUAAGCGGAGGAAAAGAAACUAACAAGGAUUCCCCUAGUAACUGCGAGUGAAGCGGGAAGAGCUCAAAUUUAAAAUCUGGCGUGCCUCCGGUCGUCCGAGUUGUAGUCUAGAGAAGCGUUUUCCGUGUUGGACCGUGUAUAAGUCCCUUGGAACAGGGCGUCAUAGAGGGUGAGAAUCCCGUCUUUGACACGGACUACCAAUGCUUUGUGAUGCGCUCUCAAAGAGUCGAGUUGUUUGGGAAUGCAGCUCAAAAUGGGUGGUAAAUUCCAUCUAAAGCUAAAUACAGGCGAGAGACCGAUAGCGAACAAGUACCGUGAGGGAAAGAUGAAAAGCACUUUGGAAAGAGAGUUAAACAGUACGUGAAAUUGCUGAAAGGGAAACGCUUGAAGUCAGUCGCGUCUGCCAGGACUCAGCCUUGCUUCUGCUUGGUGCACUUUCUGGUCGGAUGGGCCAACAUCAAUUUCAACCGUUGGAAAAAGGCCUUGGGAAUGUGGCACCUUCGGGUGUGUUAUAGCCCUCGGUCGUAUGCAACGGUUGGGAUUGAGGACCGCAGCACGCCUUCAUGGCCGGGGUUCGCCCACGUACGUGCUUAGGAUGUUGGCAUAAUGGCUUUAAGCGACCCGUCUUGAAACACGG